UAGAAUUUUGAAAUACAUUGUGGGAAGAUAGGUUUUACGAACAGUAAAAGGAAAACAAUUGUCAACGAUUUGUUUCUAGCUACAAAUAAAAGUGACGCUCAGAUGAAAAAAGUUCGAAAGCCAAGACAAGUACAUUGAGGACCAAAAGUUCAAAAAGUUGUGCCUAAUACGGCUAGGGUUCUGCCUGGAAUAAGAACAUCCUGGUUAUUUCGAAUAAUUCAUAAUUUUGCAACCAGUGAUGUUUUAUAAAAUGACUAUAUAAUAGAUAUACAUGAUAAAAUCGAAGUGGUGACUAACUACACAAUAAAAACGGUUACAUAAAACUAUCUAAACCAGCACAUAAAAAUUCACAGCCGAGUUAGCCAAAACCAUAAACGCACAAAGUGACGUAAUAUAUGAAUUUCUUAAACAAUAUCCCAAAAAUAGGAUAGACAGAAUUCAGGAUUAGAUUUGCAAUACUGAUAUAACAUUUAUCAAUAACAAUGAAAAUUACAAUAUUAAUUAUUAUCACAUUGUGGACUGGUAGUAAACUUUUCCGAUUAUUUGCCCAAAUCCACGAAUUUGGACACAUAUUUGAAAUUUAUUGGUUAG
This 591-nucleotide long non-coding RNA is filed under the name Mytilus galloprovincialis (Mediterranean mussel). The record is from RNAcentral. Lineage: Eukaryota; Metazoa; Mollusca; Bivalvia; Mytilida; Mytilidae.